GUGAAGAACGUAGCGAAAUGCGAUAAGUAAUGUGAAUUGCAGAAUUCAGUGAAUCAUCGAGUCUUUGAACGCACAUUGCGCCCCCUGGUAUUCCGGGGGGCAUGCCUGUCCGAGCGUCAUUGCUGCCCUCAAGCACGGCUUGUGUGUUGGGCCCCCGUCCCCGGUUUCCCCCGGGGACGGGCCCGAAAGGCAGCGGCGGCACCGCGUCCGGUCCUCGAGCGUAUGGGGCUUUGUCACCCGCUCUGUAGGCCCGGCCGGCGCCAGCCGACACCCAACUUUAUUUCUAAGGUUGACCUCGGAUCAGGUAGGGAUACCCGCUGAACUUAAGCAUAUCAAUAAGCGGAGGA
RNAcentral lists this unclassified non-coding RNA (347 nucleotides) under soil metagenome. Its description in RNAcentral is "partial contains 5.8S ribosomal RNA, internal transcribed spacer 2, and large subunit ribosomal RNA". The stretch from base 2 to 119 matches the Rfam family "5.8S ribosomal RNA", at positions 37 to 154 of the family's 154-position model. The record is from RNAcentral.